RNAcentral lists this ribosomal RNA (440 nucleotides) under uncultured bacterium. RNAcentral's name for it is "partial 16S ribosomal RNA". It matches the Rfam family "Bacterial small subunit ribosomal RNA", at positions 338 to 795 of the family's 1533-position model. The record is from RNAcentral.
CCUACGGGAGGCAGCAGUGGGGGAUAUUGCACAAUGGGGGAAACCCUGAUGCAGCGACGCCGCGUGUGGGAAGACGGUCCUCUGGAUUGUAAACCACUGUCCCCAGGGACGAAGAUGACGGUACCUGGGGAGGAAGCUCCGGCUAACUACGUGCCAGCAGCCGCGGUAAUACGUAGGGAGCGAGCGUUGUCCGGAAUUACUGGGUGUAAAGGGAGCGUAGGCGGGACUGCAAGUUGGGUGUCAAAUCUACCGGCUCAACCGGUAGCCGCACUCAAAACUGCAGUUCGUGAGUGAAGUAGAGGCAGGCGGAAUUCCUAGUGUAGCGGUGAAAGGCGUAGAUAUUAGGAGGAACACCAGUGGCGAAGGCGGCCUGCUGGGCUUUUACUGACGCUGAGGCUCGAAAGUGUGGGGAGCAAACAGGAUUAGAUACCCCAGUAGUC